AAUGAACGCUGGCGGCAUGCCUAACACAUGCAAGUCGAACGAACACACCGGGUGUAUUGUCGCCCGGCUGUGUAACCGGAGGGAACCUGCCCUCAGGUUUGGAAUAACUACCCGACUGGGGUGAUUAUACCGGACAAGGUCUUCUACCCAAAAAUUUAUUGCGUUUGGUUGUUCACUAGUUGGAUUAGCUUGUUGUUAGGGUAAUAGACUACCAAGGCGACCAUUCAUAGCUUGUCUGAGAGAAUGAUCAGCGACACUGGGAGUGAGACACGGCCCAGACUCCUACGGGAGGCAGCAGUGGGGAAUAGUGGACAAUGGGCGGAAGGCUGAUCCAGCAAUGCCGCGUGAGUGAUGAAGGCCUUAGGGUUGUAAAGCUCUUUUACCCGGGAUGAUAAUGACAGUACCGGGAGAAUAAGCUCCGGCUAACUCCGUG
RNAcentral lists this ribosomal RNA (433 nucleotides) under uncultured bacterium. Its description in RNAcentral is "partial 16S ribosomal RNA". It matches the Rfam family "Bacterial small subunit ribosomal RNA", at positions 29 to 507 of the family's 1533-position model. The record is from RNAcentral.